RNAcentral lists this ribosomal RNA (1397 nucleotides) under Streptococcus thermophilus. RNAcentral's name for it is "bacterial SSU rRNA". It matches the Rfam family "Bacterial small subunit ribosomal RNA". Lineage: Bacteria; Bacillati; Bacillota; Bacilli; Lactobacillales; Streptococcaceae. The record is from RNAcentral.
UGCAAGUAGAACGCUGAAGAGAGGAGCUUGCUCUUCUUGGAUGAGUUGCGAACGGGUGAGUAACGCGUAGGUAACCUGCCUUGUAGCGGGGGAUAACUAUUGGAAACGAUAGCUAAUACCGCAUAACAAUGGAUGACACAUGUCAUUUAUUUGAAAGGGGCAAUUGCUCCACUACAAGAUGGACCUGCGUUGUAUUAGCUAGUAGGUGAGGUAAUGGCUCACCUAGGCGACGAUACAUAGCCGACCUGAGAGGGUGAUCGGCCACACUGGGACUGAGACACGGCCCAGACUCCUACGGGAGGCAGCAGUAGGGAAUCUUCGGCAAUGGGGGCAACCCUGACCGAGCAACGCCGCGUGAGUGAAGAAGGUUUUCGGAUCGUAAAGCUCUGUUGUAAGUCAAGAACGGGUGUGAGAGUGGAAAGUUCACACUGUGACGGUAGCUUACCAGAAAGGGACGGCUAACUACGUGCCAGCAGCCGCGGUAAUACGUAGGUCCCGAGCGUUGUCCGGAUUUAUUGGGCGUAAAGCGAGCGCAGGCGGUUUGAUAAGUCUGAAGUUAAAGGCUGUGGCUCAACCAUAGUUCGCUUUGGAAACUGUCAAACUUGAGUGCAGAAGGGGAGAGUGGAAUUCCAUGUGUAGCGGUGAAAUGCGUAGAUAUAUGGAGGAACACCGGUGGCGAAAGCGGCUCUCUGGUCUGUAACUGACGCUGAGGCUCGAAAGCGUGGGGAGCGAACAGGAUUAGAUACCCUGGUAGUCCACGCCGUAAACGAUGAGUGCUAGGUGUUGGAUCCUUUCCGGGAUUCAGUGCCGCAGCUAACGCAUUAAGCACUCCGCCUGGGGAGUACGACCGCAAGGUUGAAACUCAAAGGAAUUGACGGGGGCCCGCACAAGCGGUGGAGCAUGUGGUUUAAUUCGAAGCAACGCGAAGAACCUUACCAGGUCUUGACAUCCCGAUGCUAUUUCUAGAGAUAGAAAGUUACUUCGGUACAUCGGUGACAGGUGGUGCAUGGUUGUCGUCAGCUCGUGUCGUGAGAUGUUGGGUUAAGUCCCGCAACGAGCGCAACCCCUAUUGUUAGUUGCCAUCAUUCAGUUGGGCACUCUAGCGAGACUGCCGGUAAUAAACCGGAGGAAGGUGGGGAUGACGUCAAAUCAUCAUGCCCCUUAUGACCUGGGCUACACACGUGCUACAAUGGUUGGUACAACGAGUUGCGAGUCGGUGACGGCGAGCUAAUCUCUUAAAGCCAAUCUCAGUUCGGAUUGUAGGCUGCAACUCGCCUACAUGAAGUCGGAAUCGCUAGUAAUCGCGGAUCAGCACGCCGCGGUGAAUACGUUCCCGGGCCUUGUACACACCGCCCGUCACACCACGAGAGUUUGUAACACCCGAAGUCGGUGAGGUA